AUGUGUGUGGCUGAUGGACAAGCGAAAUCUGUCUGCGAAAAGUGGAUGUUUCCAUGUGCACCUGGACCUUGUGAAAAAAGGCUGGUUGCCUUUGUUACCAGGAGGAAAAAAAAAAAGAACUACAACAAAAAAACAGCUCUAAGUGGGAAUGGAAGUGAAGGGUACAGGAGGGAGAGCUGCCCAGGUCAGGCAGACAGUCAUUGCAGGGAUGGUGCCCACGUGUUGCCUACUCUCCAGCGUGGGAGAUACAGAGGUUAAAACCCACGUUGCCUCACUAUCAGCACUGGCUGUGUGCUGGUCACCCUCUGUCGUGUGUCUGGUUCAUGCCUACAUCCCUGGGUUCCCUUGACAGUAAAUCCCAGUGGAGGAAACUGCUCAGAAGGACUAUGGCACCUUGCUUAGAAAAAUGAAUCAGAAUAACAAGAGAAAACAGCUUGGUGCUUCACUGGAAAUGGGAGGGGAUUCUCCAUUUGCAUGCUCACAUCAGAGUAAGCCUGGGAUGGCUGAAGUGAGCAAAUAUCCUUGGCAUCACCAGCGCAGGGCUGUGAGAGCCUGUGCUGCAAUGCAGUGAUGUAAAGGGCAGCUGACAAGGGUCAUACAGGGCUAGAGCAUUGCCCAAAUUCCCCCUUGGCCCCACCACUGUUAAUUCCCCCCCAGCUGCUCUUCUGCUUCCAGCAGCUGAAUGUCUUGAAGUUUGACACACGCAAUGAGCGCUGCCAACUACCUGAACAUAAUGAAUGUGUUUGGCAGGGGGAUUGGGAGAGCAGCGUGGCCUCCUAGGAAACUGGGUUUUAUCACACAUCUGUCACCACAGAGAGGAAGCAUUCAGCACUGAAAUCUCCAUGCUUGUUUUUCUUCCCCUUCACCAGUUAUAUCCUAUAAGCAAAUGAUACUUCCAAAAAAACUUAUUAAAGGAAAAUACAAAACACUGUGAAACAGGUUUUAGGUGAAUAUCAAGGGAGCUCUGUAAAUUGGCAGUCUGGUAGAGGUGACUCUGUACUCACAAGACUUACACAGCCAGAAGAGCAACCUCCAGCUCUGGAUUCGGGAGGCUGGGACUCCCAUGCCUCUGUCCCAAGGACCCUGCUGCUGCUGUCCCACCUGCAGAGCUCUGUGGACCUGCUCAGCUCCCUGCAUCAGCCUCUAACAACAUCCCACAGGAGGGGAAAAAACACACAACCCGUGGAGCCAAGCAGCGUCAUGGAAGGAUGAAACUUAUGCAAACAGAGAUCCACAAAAAAACAGAAUUAAUAAAAUAUAUCCUGCCCAUGCA
Molecule: long non-coding RNA, 1273 nt
Filed under: Anser brachyrhynchus (Pink-footed goose)
Lineage: Eukaryota; Metazoa; Chordata; Aves; Anseriformes; Anatidae
Description: lncRNA (ENSABRG00000018664.1)
Source: RNAcentral